This is a long non-coding RNA of Tripterygium wilfordii, 772 nucleotides long. RefSeq lists it as uncharacterized. Lineage: Eukaryota; Viridiplantae; Streptophyta; Magnoliopsida; Celastrales; Celastraceae. The record is from RefSeq and is a predicted model, not a curated record. The transcript is spliced from 2 exons.
AAUUCUCUGAAGCUAUAAGCUUGGAGAAGGUGGUUUUGGACAUGUAUACAAGGCAAGUAAAAAAAAUUUAUCAUCAAUCACAAUAAGUCAGAUUAAUCCAAAACGAAGGUAAAUCAAGCGUCCCUAUUUUUAUUAUGAUUUUCUUCCAGGGUACAUUUCCAAACAGACAAGAAGUAGCUGCCAAGAGAUUGUCAAAGAUUCACAAGGAGAAGUAGAAUUUAAGAAUGAGGUCCUGUUAUUAGCCAAGCUUCAGAAUAGGAAUUGGUUAGGCUCAUGGAGUCAUGGGAUUUCGGCUCUCUGCUGAACGCGAGGAAAGGCUUCUCAUUUAUGAGUUUGUACCUAACUCAAACCUCAGCAACUUCUUAUCUGAUCACACUAAGCGUGCCCAAUUGGAUUGGGGAAGUUGAUACAAUAUUAUACAUGGCAUAGUUCGAGUACUGAUUUACCUGCACGAAGAAUCUCAACAUCGGAUAAUUCAUUGCGAUAUCAAGACUGGUAACGUUCUGUUAGAUGCAGCACUGAAUGCAAAAAUUUCAGAUUUUGGCAAGGCAAGGUUGUUUGCUAUGGAUCAAACACAAGAUGAAACGAGUAGAAUCGUCAGCACAUAGUAACUGGUAAGUAUAAGAAUCAAACUUUUUGUCAUGCAUUAUUUAUUAAUUCAGAUAACAGCGAAAUUGAUAUUAAUUCAGAUAACAGCGAAAUUGAUGAUUAUUGUUACUAACACCAACGCUUAACAAGUAAUCUAAAGAUCUUUUUUAAUGUUUGAUAAAAA